UGGGGAAUAUUGGACAAUGGGCGCAAGCCUGAUCCAGCCAUGCCGCGUGUGUGAAGAAGGCCUUUUGGUUGUAAAGCACUUUAAGCGAGGAGGAGGCUACUUGGAUUAAUACUCUAGGAUAGUGGACGUUACUCGCAGAAUAAGCACCGGCUAACUCUGUGCCAGCAGCCGCGGUAAUACAGAGGGUGCGAGCGUUAAUCGGAUUUACUGGGCGUAAAGCGUGCGUAGGCGGCUUCUUAAGUCGGAUGUGAAAUCCCUGAGCUUAACUUAGGAAUUGCAUUCGAUACUGUGAAGCUAGAGUAUGGGAGAGGAUGGUAGAAUUCCAGGUGUAGCGGUGAAAUGCGUAGAGAUCUGGAGGAAUACCGAUGGCGAAGGCAGCCAUCUGGCCUAAUACUGACGCUGAGGUACGAAAGCAUGGGGAGCAAACAGG
This 430-nucleotide ribosomal RNA is filed under the name bacterium. RNAcentral describes it as "partial 16S ribosomal RNA". It matches the Rfam family "Bacterial small subunit ribosomal RNA", at positions 355 to 776 of the family's 1533-position model. The record is from RNAcentral.